This 370-nucleotide ribosomal RNA is filed under the name uncultured organism. RNAcentral's name for it is "bacterial SSU rRNA". It matches the Rfam family "Bacterial small subunit ribosomal RNA", at positions 526 to 896 of the family's 1533-position model. The record is from RNAcentral.
CGAAGGGAGCUAGCGUUGUUCGGAAUUACUGGGCGUAAAGGGCGCGUAGGCGGUUUUAUAAGUCAGAUGUGAAAGCCCCGGGCUUAACCUGGGAGGUGCAUUUGAAACUGUAAGGCUUGAGAUCGAGAGAGGAAAGUGGAAUUACGAGUGUAGAGGUGAGAUUCGUAGAUAUUCGUAAGAACACCAGUGGCGAAGGCGGCUUUCUGGCUCGAACCUGACGCUAAGGCGCGAAAGCGUGGGGAGCAAACAGGAUUAGAUACCCUGGUAGUCCACGCUGUAAACGACGAGUGCUAGAUGUUGGUGGAGGAAUUCAUCAGUGUCGCAGCUAACGCAUUAAGCACUCCGCCUGGGGAGUACGGUCGCAAGAUUA